AUUCUGCCCCACGGGGAAGGAUGAGAAGCUUCGACCAAGGUUCGACUCGAGCGAAGCGAGAGAACGUUGCCGCAGGCAACGGCCCGAAGGGCGAGGAGCGAUAGCGACGAGUUAUCCUUCCCCCACCACCA
This 131-nucleotide small RNA is filed under the name Klebsiella pneumoniae. RNAcentral's name for it is "RtT sRNA". It matches the Rfam family "RtT RNA". From Rfam's summary of the family: This family represents a bacterial cis-regulatory element known as RtT RNA. The exact function of RtT is unknown although it is thought that it may be involved in changing the cellular response in relation to amino acid starvation. The record is from RNAcentral. Lineage: Bacteria; Pseudomonadati; Pseudomonadota; Gammaproteobacteria; Enterobacterales; Enterobacteriaceae.